This 83-nucleotide small nuclear RNA is filed under the name Saccharomyces cerevisiae (brewer's yeast). The record is from RNAcentral. Lineage: Eukaryota; Fungi; Ascomycota; Saccharomycetes; Saccharomycetales; Saccharomycetaceae.
GGUCAAUUUGAAACAAUACAGAGAUGAUCAGCGGUUCCCCUGCAUAAGGAUGAACCGUUUUACAAAGAGAUUUAUUUCGUUUU